CUCGCCUCUGUUUUCCCCCUCAGCCCCGCAUGCAGCAGCAACAGCCACCGGCCACGGCCCUUGCUCGACCGCGCGCCCCCAGUGCUGGCCAGGACUCGCCGAAGACCAGCCACCACCUGCGCAGCAAGCGCCAACUUCCUUGUCGCUGGCAGCACUGUACGACCCUCCUCGCCUCAAAGAGGUGAGCAAAUCAAUUUCCUCGCAAUCCCCUAAUGCUAAUCCCCUAUUUAAGUGUGUCAAACCACCUCCGGUUAGCCCCCAUUUAGAGCUCCCAUUAUCUAUGGCCACGAGGACUUGUUUGCAGCAAUUUGAACAAAGUCAGAAACCUUUGUGUAAAUUUUAGGACCAUAUCCGCGAGAACAAAUUUGACACGCAUUUGAACCUUUGUAAAUUGCCAGGAAAUCAUAGAAAAAUCGGAAAAUGUCAAACAAGUUUUUUUGUGCUCCUCGUGUUAAGUUUUAUCUGCACAGAGAAAACCAAAUGUUG
This 486-nucleotide unclassified non-coding RNA is filed under the name Zea mays. Its description in RNAcentral is "misc RNA Zm00001eb312370". Lineage: Eukaryota; Viridiplantae; Streptophyta; Magnoliopsida; Poales; Poaceae. The record is from RNAcentral.